RNAcentral lists this ribosomal RNA (394 nucleotides) under Phagomyxa sp. RNAcentral describes it as "partial small subunit ribosomal RNA". It matches the Rfam family "Eukaryotic small subunit ribosomal RNA", at positions 587 to 975 of the family's 1831-position model. The record is from RNAcentral. Lineage: Eukaryota; Endomyxa; Phytomyxea; Phagomyxida; Phagomyxidae.
AGCUCCAAUAGCAUAUGUUAUUAUUAAAGUUGUUGCAGUUAGAAAGCUCGUAGUCGGAUUUCUUGGUUGUUUGGAGCACGCGCUUCGAACGAAGCGUUCGUUGUAACAAUCCACCAUUUCGUCCCUUGCUCGCAGCUGGUCUUUAAUUUGCUGACUCGGUUGUUGUGCUGGGACCUUUUACUGUGAGAAAAUUAGAGUGUUCAAAGCAAGCGUUUUUGCAAUUGAAUAUUCCAGCAUGGAAUAACAAGAUACGACUUUGGAGCUAUUUUGUUGGUUUCUAUUUCGGAAGUAAUGAUUGAUAGGGAUAGUUGGGGGUGCUAGUAUUGGAUGGUCAAUUCAUGGAUUCAUUCAAGAGUAACUUAUGCGAAAGCAUUCACCAAGGAUGUCCUCUUUG